This 403-nucleotide ribosomal RNA is filed under the name bacterium. RNAcentral's name for it is "partial 16S ribosomal RNA". It matches the Rfam family "Bacterial small subunit ribosomal RNA", at positions 355 to 776 of the family's 1533-position model. The record is from RNAcentral.
UGGGGAAUAUUGCACAAUGGGGGAAACCCUGAUGCAGCGACGCCGCGUGAACGAAGAAGGUAUUCGUAUCGUAAAGUUCUGUCCUAUGGGAAGAUAAUGACAGUACCAUAGAAGAAAGCUCCGGCUAAAUACGUGCCAGCAGCCGCGGUAAUACGUAUGGAGCGAGCGUGGUCCGGAAUUAUUGGGCGUAAAGGGUACGCAGGCGGUUUAAUAAGUCGAAUGUUAAAGAUCGGGGCUCAACCCCGCAAAGCAUUGGAAACUGAUAAACUUGAGUAGUGGAGAGGAAAGUGGAAUUCCUAGUGUAGUGGUGAAAUACGUAGAUAUUAGGAGGAAUACCAGUAGCGAAGGCGACUUUCUGGACACAAACUGACGCUGAGGUACGAAAGCGUGGGGAGCAAACAGG